This is a non-coding RNA of Meleagris gallopavo (turkey), 1037 nucleotides long. The record is from RefSeq and is a predicted model, not a curated record. Lineage: Eukaryota; Metazoa; Chordata; Aves; Galliformes; Phasianidae.
GUGAAGGUGAGGGCAUCUCUUGACAGAGAUACCUGCUUACCUGAGGUCUUCUAAAGAAGUGUUCCUGAUAAAAUCUGGCAUUGUAAUGAUUUGGAGGCAAGGGUUUGGGAAGGAAAUGCACUGCAGCUUCAACACAACGACCUAAUCCUUCACAGCAUGCAUGAAAAGUCUGAGAACUUGUUAAUGGUGACGACCUGGCAAUAUCCUUUCUCUCCUUAUAGAGCUGGCAACACAUAACUCACUCUUACGACUUCACUCAUGCUUUUUCCCAGUGACUUAUAUGUGUGAUGACAAUGUUCAAUAGGAACUUAAUCUGGCAAAAGCCAUCUAGGAUCUUGAAAUGUAUCUCAAAUCUUCAUUUUUUUUUAUCAAAGAAAAAGGUUUCUAAAAUUGUUUUCCUGAGCCUGUUUUCUCUAAACUGCUUAGUCAACAGUAAUGCCCUCAAUCCAUCCAGUUCAUAUAGGACUCUAAUACUAUUACUGAAGUGAAAGUUCCCAACCUUUGAAAUCAGUGUUUCUUGUCCUUUUGAUCAUACCAAUCUCUCCUUUUCCCUUUCUUUCUCUCCCUCUCUUCCUUCUAUACAUCAGAUAUCUACUUGCCUAAUCUGGAUAGUUGUCUAUCUGUGUAACACAGGUAAAUACGUAGCAAAGAAAAUGAAAUCACAAGAGUGUCUAUUUUUACCAGCUUUUAAACAUCACAAAUCAGUUCAUGUUAUGGUUUGUGGGAUUGUUUAACCCUUAAUGAGUCUCUCAAGGAAAAUUGAACACAAAAUAAUGUUCCGCUUAUUUUACACAGUCAAAAGGAAAUUAAAAAGCAAUCCUUUAAAGCAUGGGAAAAUUUCUGUUGUCAUUAGAGGAUGUUGAGUCACCUAUCAGGUUUCAUCACGAUACUGGCAAACAGUUAUAAGAGGGCUGAAGGUUUCUCAAGAGUACAAGGUAAAGUGGGUGUAUAAUGUGAGUAGAAAAUAUUAGUCCUGUAUGUUAACAACUCAGUAAUCAAGAAUAUUGUAUGAUUUCCUGGUAAGUAGCUGGAUGUGC